This 253-nucleotide ribosomal RNA is filed under the name uncultured bacterium. RNAcentral's name for it is "partial 16S ribosomal RNA". It matches the Rfam family "Bacterial small subunit ribosomal RNA", at positions 524 to 776 of the family's 1533-position model. The record is from RNAcentral.
GACGUAGGGCGCGAGCGUUGUCCGGAUUUAUUGGGCGUAAAGAGCUCGUAGGCGGCUUGUCGCGUCGAAUGUGAAAUCUCAGGGCUCAACCCUGACAUUGCAUUCGAUACGGGCAGGCUUGAGUUCGGUAGGGGAGACUGGAAUUCCUGGUGUAGCGGUGAAAUGCGCAGAUAUCAGGAGGAACACCGGUGGCGAAGGCGGGUCUCUGGGCCGAUACUGACGCUGAGGAGCGAAAGCGUGGGGAGCGAACAGG